Molecule: ribosomal RNA, 220 nt
Filed under: uncultured bacterium
Lineage: Bacteria
Description: partial 16S ribosomal RNA
Rfam family: Bacterial small subunit ribosomal RNA
Source: RNAcentral
GCAAGUCGAGCGCUACCUUCGGGUGGAGCGGCGGACGGGUUAGUAACGCGUGGGAACAUACCCUUCUCUAAGGAAUAGCCACUGGAAACGGUGAGUAAUACCUUAUACGCCCUUCGGGGGAAAGAUUUAUCGGUGAUGGAUUAGCCCGCGUCUGAUUAGAUAGUUGGUGGGGUAAUGGCCUACCAAGUCUACGAUCAGUAGCUGGUUUUAGAGGAUGAUC